GUCACAGUGAGUUCACAAAAUCAAUUGACAGUAUGCUUUAGCUGUGGAUGACUUUCUAGAGAUAGGUCAGCUGUGAAGACUGCACUGUUAAUUACCCAUGAUGAAAAGUGAAAUCAGCUUAAGUGAUUUCCUUAGCACCACCCAGGAUCUUUUUAGAAGGUGCUAGAAUGGGAUCUGCUUUUCCAGAGGACACAAUGCUACAGCAAUUCAGCCUUGAUGAAGUGGGAGAUGUUCUGAUUGGAACUGGAACCAUCCACCUACUUCUGUUCAUUACAUCGACGCUGCUCUGUUCUCUUCUCUGAACUCUGAGAGUUACUUAUCCACCCACAUAGUUAAUCUACAGAAACCAUUCUCAAAG
Cyanistes caeruleus (blue tit) is the source of this 358-nucleotide non-coding RNA. The record is from RefSeq and is a predicted model, not a curated record. NCBI's taxonomy places the organism in Eukaryota, Metazoa, Chordata, Aves, Passeriformes, Paridae.